RNAcentral lists this long non-coding RNA (244 nucleotides) under Elaeis guineensis (African oil palm). RNAcentral's name for it is "long non-coding RNA (EGUI_LNC045588)". Lineage: Eukaryota; Viridiplantae; Streptophyta; Magnoliopsida; Arecales; Arecaceae. The record is from RNAcentral.
CACACCAAAUAUUCUUCAGCUAUUUGUAGAUCAAGGGAAGAGUUACUUACACACUUUCGAUAUGAAUAAAAAAAAUCUUUUCAUUUAUUGAACCUUUCUCAACAGUGAAUUUAAUGAAAUUUUAAACUCCUUCAAAAUAAUCUUCACCGAACCUUGGCUUGUUUAUCUAACUUUUGUCUAUUGUAUGAGAAUAAUAAUUUAAUAAUAAUUUAUUUAAAAAAUUAUACAAGUAGCAUAUCAGUUG